Molecule: long non-coding RNA, 376 nt
Filed under: Gossypium raimondii (Peruvian cotton)
Lineage: Eukaryota; Viridiplantae; Streptophyta; Magnoliopsida; Malvales; Malvaceae
Description: long non-coding RNA (GRAI_LNC000274)
Source: RNAcentral
CGAAACACUCUACUACCUAACCAUUGUUCGAUAAACACUAGAUUAAUUCUCUGAAACGCAUUCAAACUGAAUAGGAACGAAUAACUCAUUAUAAUAUGCAACAUCCAAACUUACCCACGACUCUCGAAUGAUCGACUAAAGUUCCCCUCGCGUCUUGUCUCUUUCUCUAAAAUUCGCUACUUCCCAAGAAGAUAAAGAAAUAAAAUAAAAAAAUAAAACCCUAACGGAAACCAUUAGCCAAAAACCAGGAACUCACUUAUCGAACCCACACGCACAAAACCGCCAAAGAUAGAGGCAAGAACCACAAUUGCAGUUGGAUUGAGAGAUAAUUUCGAAAGGGGAAAGGAUAAAGAACACAAAAGGAACAACUCGGCAC